UUUGCUCAUUUUACAUUUCUAUACACAGGAGGUGGGGGCAUCAGCUGUGUACUGCAAGAUGGGCAUGUGUUUGAAAAGGCUGGGGUGAGCAUUUCUGUCGUUCAUGGACAUCUUUCUGAGGAAGCAGCAAAGCAAAUGAGAAAUAGAGGAAAAAAUCUGAAGACUAAAGAUGGUAAAUUGUCAUUUUCUGCUAUGGGUGUGAGCUCCGUUAUCCACCCCAAGAAUCCUCAUGCCCCUACCAUCCAUUUCAACUACAGAUACUUUGAAGUAGAAGAAGCCGAUGGUA
Long non-coding RNA from Myotis davidii, 286 nucleotides. RefSeq lists it as uncharacterized. The record is from RefSeq and is a predicted model, not a curated record. The transcript is spliced from 2 exons. Lineage: Eukaryota; Metazoa; Chordata; Mammalia; Chiroptera; Vespertilionidae.